UACGGAGGGUGCAAGCGUUAUCCGGAUUCACUGGGUUUAAAGGGUGCGUAGGCGGGCAGGUAAGUCCGGGGUGAAAUCUCUGAGCUUAACUCAGAAACUGCCAUGGAUACUAUUUGUCUUGAAUAUUGUGGAGGUAAGCGGAAUAUGUCAUGUAGCGGUGAAAUGCUUAGAUAUGACAUAGAACACCAAUUGCGAAGGCAGCUUACUACACAGUUAUUGACGCUGAGGCACGAAAGCGUGGGGAUCAAACAGG
Molecule: ribosomal RNA, 253 nt
Filed under: uncultured bacterium
Lineage: Bacteria
Description: partial 16S ribosomal RNA
Rfam family: Bacterial small subunit ribosomal RNA
Source: RNAcentral